CACGAACCGUCCAAACGUUAUUCGGAAUCAUUGGGCUUAAAGGGUGCGUAGGCGGCGCUUUAAGUCGGGUGUGAAAUCCCUCGGCUCAACCGAGGAACUGCGCCCGAUACUGGAGUGCUAGAGGGAGACAGGGGUGAGCGGAACUGAUGGUGGAGCGGUGAAAUGCGUUGAUAUCAUCAGGAACACCGGUGGCGAAAGCG
This 200-nucleotide ribosomal RNA is filed under the name uncultured bacterium. RNAcentral's name for it is "partial 16S ribosomal RNA". It matches the Rfam family "Bacterial small subunit ribosomal RNA", at positions 524 to 723 of the family's 1533-position model. The record is from RNAcentral.